Molecule: ribosomal RNA, 379 nt
Filed under: uncultured cyanobacterium
Lineage: Bacteria; Bacillati; Cyanobacteriota
Description: bacterial SSU rRNA
Rfam family: Bacterial small subunit ribosomal RNA
Source: RNAcentral
GGGAAGCCUGGCGGAGCAACACCGCGUGAGGGAGGACGGCCUGUGGGUUGUAAACCGCUUUUCUCAGGGAAGAAGAUCUGACGGUACCUGAGGAAUCAGCAUCGGCUAACUCCGUGCCAGCAGCCGCGGUAAUACGGAGGAUGCAAGCGUUAUCCGGAAUUAUUGGGCGUAAAGCGUCCGCAGGCGGUGAGAUAAGUCUGCUGUCAAAGACUGCAGCUCAACUGUGGAGAGGCAGUGGAAACUGAUUGACUAGAGUGCGGUAGGGGUAGAGGGAAUUCCCAGUGUAGCGGUGAAAUGCGUAGAUAUUGGGAAAAACACCAGGGGCAAAGGCGCUCUACGGGGUCGCAACUGACGCUGAGGAACAAAAGCUAGGGAAGCG